Molecule: ribosomal RNA, 440 nt
Filed under: uncultured bacterium
Lineage: Bacteria
Description: partial 16S ribosomal RNA
Rfam family: Bacterial small subunit ribosomal RNA
Source: RNAcentral
CCUACGGUGUGCAGCAGUAGGGAAUUUUGCGCAAUGGGCGAAAGCCUGACGCAGCAACGCCGCGUGAUCGAGACGCCCUUCGGGGUGUAAAGAUCUGUCAGUGGGGACGAAACUUGACGGUACCCACAGAGGAAGCACCGGCUAACUCCGUGCCAGCAGCCGCGGUAAUACGGGGGGUGCAAGCGUUGUCCGGAAUCAUUGGGCGUAAAGGGAGCGGAGACGGUGCAGCAAGUCUGAUGUGAAAGGUCGGGGCCCAACCCCGGGACUGCAUUGGAAACUGUUGAACUGGAGUACAGGAGAGGUAAGCGGAAUUCCUAGUGUAGCGGUGAAAUGCGUAGAUAUUAGGAGGAACACCAGUGGCGAAGGCGGCUUACUGGACUGUAACUGACGUUGAGGCUCGAAAGCGUGGGGAGCAAACAGGAUUAGAUACCCGGGUAGUC